AAGAAAUCUAUUUCUUUGUUCUCGGGAAUAGAAAUGGAAAAAACUAUUUCUAAACAUAAAUUGGUCCUAGGAAUCGAAAAGUUACUAAAGGCACCUGUUGAAGUUAACACAAAAUGUGACAAGGAAAUUCUCACCAACAAAGGAAUCCACCAUAGGAUAGAGGACAGUAAUUUUCACGAAAAAAAGUCUUUUAAUUGAGAAAUCUGCUCAAAAUAACGACAGGAAUAGUAAUCCAAGAAAUGAUUAGAGCAUGAACCCUACUUAUUAAAAUCAGAAAAAAACAGAAUCAAGAGAAGAUUAAGAUAUUUGAAUUGUCCCUUAUUCCAUUCUUUUCCAAACUCACCAUGUAAGGCAAAG
Molecule: long non-coding RNA, 357 nt
Filed under: Eucalyptus grandis
Lineage: Eukaryota; Viridiplantae; Streptophyta; Magnoliopsida; Myrtales; Myrtaceae
Description: long non-coding RNA (EGRA_LNC007958)
Source: RNAcentral